Molecule: long non-coding RNA, 759 nt
Organism: Agelaius phoeniceus (red-winged blackbird)
Lineage: Eukaryota; Metazoa; Chordata; Aves; Passeriformes; Icteridae
Source: RefSeq, a predicted model, not a curated record
UUUCUAGGAUGGUGGACUCCUGUCUGCACUACUCCAUAGCACCGGUCAGGGUUCUGAAGGACUGGGACACUGCCUUGACUGGAUCUCAGCCUGGGUCAACUGUCAUGGAGCCAUGAAAUCUAGGAGCCAUGAAAUUCCAACAUAAAAGAAUUUAAAAACCUGUUGUAUUUUACUUCAUAUAUUGUUCAACACAUAACACUGGGGGAUUUUAGCCUACAGUGAGAACUCAUUUUUAUCUGAUACACAUAAUUAGGUCAAGUCAAUGGAUUACAGAUUAAACAAGCAGGGCAUUUUGCAAUGACUGGAAGAACUUUAUGUAUCUGAAGUCCUAAUAGUAUAUACUAUUAUAUAUGGUACAUAUGGUUUUAAAACACUGGUUAUUUAUUGACAAUUUUAGCUUGAAGUGGCCUGCAGUAAACUAGCGGCUUUUAGGGUCUUACUAAUUUACUUCACUUGAGAACAAAUAUUUCUUUACAUUAAUUUCAUGUUUGAUAACAUAUUGAAUGGUUACUGAGCCCUGAGUUUUAUGUAGUGCCAUAUAGCUAAAAUUUAUUUCUCAAUGUUAUGACCCUUUCUUUCUGUUAUAUCUGUAAGAGAGACAGAUUUAAAUAUCAUAUCACUUUAUAGAUCUGCACCAUUUUCCUUUGUCUCUCUCUUUUUUUUCUUCUUUCAUUUUAAAGAUAUAGGAUUCUAUAAUGAAUUGAAGUUUUUCAUUUACUCCAGUUCACACAUCAAUAAAUCAAGAGAAGUACUUCUGAA